GGGUUGUGAGGUUAAGCGACUAAGCGUACACGGUGGAUGCCCUGGCAGUCAGAGGCGAUGAAGGGCGUGCUAAUCUGCGAUAAGCGCCGGUAAGGUGAUAUGAACCGUUAUAACCGGCGAUACCCGAAUGGGGAAACCCAGUGUGACUCGUCACACUAUCAUUAACUGAAUCCAUAGGUUAAUGAGGCGAACCGGGGGAACUGAAACAUCUAAGUACCCCGAGGAAAAGAAAUCAACCGAGAUUCCCCCAGUAGCGGCGAGCGAACGGGGAGGAGCCCAGAGCCUGAAUCAGCAUGUGUGUUAGUGGAAGCGUCUGGAAAGGCGCGCGAUACAGGGUGACAGCCCCGUACACAAAAGCGCAUGUGCUGUGAGCUCGAUGAGUAGGGCGGGACACGUGGUAUCCUGUCUGAAUAUGGGGGGACCAUCCUCCAAGGCUAAAUACUCCUGACUGACCGAUAGUGAACCAGUACCGUGAGGGAAAGGCGAAAAGAACCCCGGCGAGGGGAGUGAAAAAGAACCUGAAACCGUGUACGUACAAGCAGUGGGAGCCCCACCACCAAAGCAUUCUCUGGUGUUGAAGGCCCUGCAAAGCAGCAUCGCGGUGGCGGAGCGUCGUUUGCGACGCCCAACACAAAAAACAAGCGGUGAGUGCUUUGGGGUGGGGUGACUGCGUACCUUUUGUAUAAUGGGUCAGCGACUUAUAUUCUGUAGCAAGGUUAACCGAAUAGGGGAGCCGUAGGGAAACCGAGUCUUAACUGGGCGUUAAGUUGCAGGGUAUAGACCCGAAACCCGGUGAUCUAGCCAUGGGCAGGUUGAAGGUUGGGUAACACUAACUGGAGGACCGAACCGACUAAUGUUGAAAAAUUAGCGGAUGACCUGUGGCUGGGGGUGAAAGGCCAAUCAAACCGGGAGAUAGCUGGUUCUCCCCGAAAGCUAUUUAGGUAGCGCCUCGUGAAUUCAUCUCCGGGGGUAGAGCACUGUUUCGGCUAGGGGGCCAUCCCGGCUUACCAACCCGAUGCAAACUGCGAAUACCGGAGAAUGUUAUCACGGGAGACACACGGCGGGUGCUAACGUCCGUCGUGAAGAGGGAAACAACCCAGACCGCCAGCUAAGGUCCCAAAGUCAUGGUUAAGUGGGAAACGAUGUGGGAAGGCCCAGACAGCCAGGAUGUUGGCUUAGAAGCAGCCAUCAUUUAAAGAAAGCGUAAUAGCUCACUGGUCGAGUCGGCCUGCGCGGAAGAUGUAACGGGGCUAAACCAUGCACCGAAGCUGCGGCAGCGACGCUGAUGCGUUGUUGGGUAGGGGAGCGUUCUGUAAGCCUGUGAAGGUGGCCUGUGAGGGUUGCUGGAGGUAUCAGAAGUGCGAAUGCUGACAUAAGUAACGAUAAAGCGGGUGAAAAGCCCGCUCGCCGGAAGACCAAGGGUUCCUGUCCAACGUUAAUCGGGGCAGGGUGAGUCGACCCCUAAGGCGAGGCCGAAAGGCGUAGUCGAUGGGAAACGGGUUAAUAUUCCCGUACUUGGUGUUACUGCGAAGGGGGGACGGAGAAGGCUAUGUUGGCCGGGCGACGGUUGUCCCGGUUUAAGCGUGUAGGUGUGUGUUCCAGGUAAAUCCGGUUCACUUUAACACUGAGGCGUGACGACGAGGCACUACGGUGCUGAAGCAACAAAUGCCCUGCUUCCAGGAAAAGCCUCUAAGCAUCAGGUAACAUCAAAUCGUACCCCAAACCGACACAGGUGGUCAGGUAGAGAAUACCAAGGCGCUUGAGAGAACUCGGGUGAAGGAACUAGGCAAAAUGGUGCCGUAACUUCGGGAGAAGGCACGCUGACACGUAGGUGAAGUGAUUUACUCAUGGAGCUGAAGUCAGUCGAAGAUACCAGCUGGCUGCAACUGUUUAUUAAAAACACAGCACUGUGCAAACACGAAAGUGGACGUAUACGGUGUGACGCCUGCCCGGUGCCGGAAGGUUAAUUGAUGGGGUCAGCGCAAGCGAAGCUCCUGAUCGAAGCCCCGGUAAACGGCGGCCGUAACUAUAACGGUCCUAAGGUAGCGAAAUUCCUUGUCGGGUAAGUUCCGACCUGCACGAAUGGCGUAAUGAUGGCCAGGCUGUCUCCACCCGAGACUCAGUGAAAUUGAACUCGCUGUGAAGAUGCAGUGUACCCGCGGCAAGACGGAAAGACCCCGUGAACCUUUACUAUAGCUUGACACUGAACAUUGAGCCUUGAUGUGUAGGAUAGGUGGGAGGCUUUGAAGUGUGGACGCCAGUCUGCAUGGAGCCGACCUUGAAAUACCACCCUUUAAUGUUUGAUGUUCUAACGUGGACCCGU
This 2323-nucleotide ribosomal RNA is filed under the name Salmonella enterica subsp. enterica serovar Mbandaka. RNAcentral describes it as "partial 23S ribosomal RNA". It matches the Rfam family "Bacterial large subunit ribosomal RNA", at positions 1 to 2236 of the family's 2925-position model. The record is from RNAcentral. Lineage: Bacteria; Pseudomonadati; Pseudomonadota; Gammaproteobacteria; Enterobacterales; Enterobacteriaceae.